AUAGAUGUAGUUUAAUUGAUAAAAUAUCUAACUCCAAAUCAGAAUGAUGUGGGUUUGAAUCCUACCGUCUGUG
Molecule: transfer RNA, 73 nt
Filed under: Caudoviricetes sp.
Lineage: Duplodnaviria; Heunggongvirae; Uroviricota; Caudoviricetes
Description: tRNA-Trp
Rfam family: tRNA
About the family: Transfer RNA (tRNA) molecules are approximately 80 nucleotides in length.
Source: RNAcentral